This is a long non-coding RNA of Mustela erminea (ermine), 787 nucleotides long. RefSeq lists it as uncharacterized. The transcript is spliced from 5 exons. Lineage: Eukaryota; Metazoa; Chordata; Mammalia; Carnivora; Mustelidae. The record is from RefSeq and is a predicted model, not a curated record.
ACACCCAGCAUGCCUUCAUUUUUCUGCUUGAAAACUAGGGGUGACAGAAAUCUGUUCUAUCUUUAGGAAAUCAUGAAAAUGAAAUGACAUGCUCCACGAGGAAACUGAACCAGGCUAAUACUGAAGGUGUAAAGGGAGCGUACAAAGGGAUACCAGGAAGCCUGGAGGGAAAAAAAAAAGAAUGGCGAAUGAAUGUAUAUAUAUGGAAGCUGAUUUUCGUGUGGAAAAACCACAUGCCAUGGUGUAGAGGGCGCUGUACCGGCCACUAAAGCCCCCGUCAAACCCGAAUGUUCCAGAUUCCUCCACUGCCUUGAAGGCCUGAUGAAGAAAUGUACAUGAAGCACUUCAUAAGCUAGAAUGUUCUUUGGAAAUUAGAAAAACGCAAGACAGGAUCGUGGAUUAGAUUCAAGAGAUGAACACUGCGGCUACCUCCAGACCAUUCUCAUAGAUUAUACUGAAAAUUAAGCAAGCUCUGUUGUUGACGCUGUGGAUGCAGGGCGGGAAGGGACUGUGGAGACAUGUGUGCACUCGGCCUGAGCUCCUCGCUGCUUGGUGAUCACUUAAAAAAUGAUGACCGGAUUCUUUCCCAAUUGCCAAGUUCUUUUGCAUGGACAGCGUACAGUGUGAGAGACCUCGGAUAAGAACAUCAUUGUGCAACUUCAGUAAGAUGCUGGUUUACACUUUAAUGACCAAUGUGCAUUUUCAGGAUUUUGCUGGAUAAAACCAUACCAUGCUUUGUUCAUUAAAACUUGAUUUGGGAAAACAUGUAAAUCUUCUACAAAAUAAA